RNAcentral lists this ribosomal RNA (253 nucleotides) under uncultured bacterium. RNAcentral's name for it is "partial 16S ribosomal RNA". It matches the Rfam family "Bacterial small subunit ribosomal RNA", at positions 524 to 776 of the family's 1533-position model. The record is from RNAcentral.
UACAGAGGUCUCGAGCGUUGUUCGGAUUCAUUGGGCGUAAAGGGUGCGUAGGUGGCUAGGUAAGUCGGAUGUGAAAUCCCGGGGCUCAACCCCGGGCCUGCAGUCGAUACGGGCAGACUAGAGUGCGGUAGGGGAGACUGGAAUUCCUGGUGUAGCGGUGAAAUGCGCAGAUAUCAGGAGGAACACCGGUGGCGAAGGCGGGUCUCUGGGCCGACACUGACACUGAGAGACGAAAGCUAGGGGAGCGAAUGGG